Molecule: ribosomal RNA, 490 nt
Filed under: uncultured bacterium
Lineage: Bacteria
Description: partial 16S ribosomal RNA
Rfam family: Bacterial small subunit ribosomal RNA
Source: RNAcentral
AUUGAACGCUGGCGGCAGGCCUAACACAUGCAAGUCGAACGGUAACAGGAAGCAGCUUGCUGCUUCGCUGACGAGUGGCGGACGGGUGAGUCAUGUCUGUGAAACUGCCUGAUGGAGGGGGAUAACUACUGGAAACGGUAGCUAAUACCGCAUAACGUCGCAAGACCAAAGAGGGGGACUUUAGGGCCUCUUGCCAUCGGAUGUGCCCAGAUGGGAUUAGCUAGUAGGUGGGGUAACGGCUCACCUAGGCGACGAUCCCUAGCUGGUCUGAGAGGAUGACCAGCCACACUGGAACUGAGACACGGUCCAGACUCCUACGGGAGGCAGCAGUGGGGAAUAUUGCACAAUGGGCGCAAGCCUGAUGCAGCCAUGCCGCGUGUAUGAAGAAGGCCUUCGGGUUGUAAAGUACUUUCAGCGGGGAGGAAGGGCGUAAAGUUAAUACCUUUGCUCAUUGACGUUACCCGCAGAAGAAGCGCCGGCUAACUCCGUG